CCUGGCUCACCGCCUUAAAGGGACAGUGUGCCGCGCGCGCCCCCUGCUUUAAGGCGUUAACCCUAGUAGUGGCUGGUUGGCAAAGACCGUGAUGCUGGGAGAGAUUGACGGCGGGAGGAGAAGGGCACGACACAGGAUGAGAUGGUGGGAUGGCGUCACCGACUCAAUGGACAUGAGCAAGCUCUGGGAGAUGGUGAAGGACAGGGAGGCCUGGCGUGCUGCAGUCCAUGGGGUCGCAAAGAAUCGGACAAGACUGAGCGACUGAACUGAACUGGUAUUGGCGAGUUCAGGUCCUUCUGCACCUUCUAAAUACUUAAGUAUGGUGAUGCCUACAGAAAGUACUUGCGCGCCCCUUGAGUGUUCACAUCUUGAGCGCGCCCUGCAGCGGCGCCCCAGGGAGGAGCCGAGCUCCCGGUCCACGGGAUUAGCGGGGCGCUGGAGGGGUCGCGUCUCUCCACAGCCGCGCAAGCCGGGGAUCGGCGGCGGCGGCCGCGUCCACAGCCCCCGGCCGCCCUAGGCGGUUCUCCGCGUGGCAUCCCCAUUAAUUUCGGGACACCCCUGUGAGGGGCCCUGGCCUUCCAGCUUGUAAGAGAGAGGAACCUUGAGCUCCGAAAGAUUCAGAACCUGGACUCUGGGAGCUGCGCCCACCGGCUACCCCGCAGGACCUGCGGCGGAGUCGGCGGGGCCUUCCCGCCCCUGGGUCAAGAGAGUUGUCUCCUGAGCCCCCAGCGCGGAGAUGCGAACUGUCGCUGCGUGCGGGCUACUCUGGGGUCUGCGGGGUGAUGGCCCAGACAGUUCUCUGACCAGGGAUCCAACCUGAGCCCCCUGCAGUAGAAGUGCAGAGUCCUUCCACUGGACUGCCAAGGACGUCCCACAGCAACGUUAUUUACAAAGAUGAAAUACCUGGAGACGACACAAACACUCAGCUCUGAGGGAAGAGGCUGAUCAGGCAUCUCGUGGUUCACUUGCUAAACUGUGUCUGACUCUUUGCGACCCCGUGGACUGCAGCACUCCGGGCCUCCCUGUCCUUCCCCAUCCCCUGGAGCUUGCUCAAACUCAUGUCCAUCGAGUCAGUGAUGCCAUCCAACCAUCUCAUCCUCUGUCGUCCCCUACUCUGCCUCAAUCUUUCCCAGCAUCAGGGUCUUUUCCAAUAAGCAGGCUCUUCACAUCAGGUGGCCAAAGUAUUGGAGCUUCAGCUUCAGCAUCAGUCCUUCCGAUGAAUAUUCAGGGUUGAUUUCCUUUAGGAUGGACUGAUUUGAUCUCCUUGCAGUCCAAGGGACUCUCAAGAGUCUUCUCCAGAGUACACUGCUUCCUGGAAUAUUCUGUAGACUGCAAAGGACUGAGGUAGCCAGGGCGUCGUGCCUGGGGGACAGCCACACACUCGCAGAAAGAGAGCGCACAGCAGACAGCACACAGCCGUGUGAGGAAAAACUGGGGAAGGGCGGGUGCCGGCUCUACAGACUCUGGCCUGCGACAGGCGCCUGGGGCGAGGGGAUGACGUAGCAUCCUUCGGUUUCCCUUUUAUGCCCCUGAGAUUCUCCCAAUUGAUGCCCUUUGCAAUUAAACAGAGUAAUAAUGGGUCUUGUUCAUUUCCACAAUAGGAGACUGAUGCAUGGUUCAGCUGCUGCUGCUGCUAAGCCACUUCAGUCGUGUCUGACUCUGUG
Bos taurus (domestic cattle) is the source of this 1664-nucleotide long non-coding RNA. The record is from Ensembl. NCBI's taxonomy places the organism in Eukaryota, Metazoa, Chordata, Mammalia, Artiodactyla, Bovidae.